GUAGGUAUAGCUCAGUUGGUUAGAGCAUCUGGUUGUGGUUCAGAGGGUCGUGGGUUCGAACCCCAUUACUUACCCCA
RNAcentral lists this transfer RNA (77 nucleotides) under Arcobacter sp. RNAcentral describes it as "tRNA-His". It matches the Rfam family "tRNA". From Rfam's summary of the family: Transfer RNA (tRNA) molecules are approximately 80 nucleotides in length. Their secondary structure includes four short double-helical elements and three loops (D, anti-codon, and T loops). Lineage: Bacteria; Pseudomonadati; Campylobacterota; Epsilonproteobacteria; Campylobacterales; Arcobacteraceae. The record is from RNAcentral.